GACGAACCGUGCGAACGUUGUUCGGAAUCACUGGGCUUAAAGGGCGCGUAGGCGGGUUCUCAAGUCUGGAGUGAAAGCCCACGGCUCAACCGUGGAAGCGCUUCGGAUACUGGGGGCCUCGAGGGAGGUAGGGGCGUGCGGAACUUCCGGUGGAGCGGUGAAAUGCGUAGAUAUCUGGAGGAACACCGGUGGCGAAGGCGGCAUCCUGGACCGGUAUUGACGCUGAGGCGCGAAAGCCAGGGGAGCAAACGGG
This 253-nucleotide ribosomal RNA is filed under the name uncultured bacterium. RNAcentral describes it as "partial 16S ribosomal RNA". It matches the Rfam family "Bacterial small subunit ribosomal RNA", at positions 524 to 776 of the family's 1533-position model. The record is from RNAcentral.